CUGGGCGAGUCAUGACUCUGAACAUCUGAGCUUGCACAUUCUCAGCACAGUCAGCAUUUGGCAGCCAAAAUUCUGAAGGUUACACAGUUUUCCAGGACAACGGGGACAGAGCAGGAUUCCCUCCUGUAAUGGCUCUUCCCAGUGUCUUCCCCAGUAUCAGGAAGGCCAUUACUAGGUUAACAUUAAACCAAGAAAAAAAUCAAACAUUCUAUGUUUUUCAGUGUCACUUCUGGAGGCGACCAUGUGCCAAGGAGAAUGAAGUGUGAUUGCAGCAUUGAGAACUGAGGUCAAGAAAUAGUUGCGGGUAGGGAAGAUACGAGUAAGGGAACAUUGUGCAAAUCAAAGGAAGAGAGGUCCGGCCUGGGAGUUAAAACAAUGGAUAAGGUGUCUUUAGCUACUAAAGUACAGUGCUUUUAGGACAUCAAGAAGCUCAUGCUUUCUACAGACUCGUAGACAAAUAUCUGGUGUUCCAAACUGAGGUGGGUGCUUGUCCUAGUGCUUGAUUAGGAGUCUCUAACUCUUGAGCUGCUUGGGUAAUAAUCAAAUGUCUAAUAACUCUGGCUACAGGUAAGGUUUGACUCGUAACUGUCAGGGUACUCAAGGAGUUUACUGCACACUUCAGCAAGUGAUUCCAGGAGGAUGUUUGUCCAUUUGUAAAAGAAUAAUUUUGACAGUAAAGGCAUCAGAUGGUUUAGAUUUAAAUCUCAUAGUUUUAAUGGAAAGUGAAAACAACCUGCAUGAUGGAAUUUUUAUCUUUGGCUCUAGAAUGCCCUUAAAAAUGCAGAAAGUUUUACUGUAAAGGUUACAAAGCCAGUUUGUCACAAGUUAGAAGUCACAGCAUUAUGGCUGUGCCAGGCUUUAGUGCACACAUGAAACACUGCCCAGUUUAGACUUUGAUCACAAAUAAUUUUUCUCAAGUUCCCAAAGAAGUUUAAUUUUCAUACUUCUUUUGUGGAGACUUUCUUUUGACAUAUUGCACAUCCUUCAAUAAAAAGAAUGGCUCAGAAAAAAAUCCUGGACAUGCUGAACAUGACAGUCCUUUUUGCUAUUGACUUUAGAGGUGCAAGGAUGCUGCCUAGAUCUUUUUCAAUAGUUUUGAACCCAUCAUGUUACUAUCUAGUCAGUAAAACAAACCAAAAACCUGCUUCUGACUAAAAAAAAACCAGUGACAUGUUAUGCUAUAAAUCAUUAUUACAAGUAUUAUUCCACAAUGAUCUUACUGUUGCAUUAUCCAGUUUCUGUCCUCUCUAGAGCAAGGUAAUGUGGGACAAUUAAAAAAAGAUGAAGGACAGAAGGGCAUUCUUAUAUAAACUUUAAAAGAAUGUUACUACUAAUGAAGAAUGUUAUCAGGUUGCAUGUACAUGACAUGGAAUUUUACUUUCUAAUACAGUAGAGUCUGUCUUCAGCAUUCAUUUAGCUCUGCAGCAUCACAGUAAAGAAAGCUAUGACUACCUAAACAACAAGGCGGCCAUACUACAUUUGAAAAAGAAGAUUCAGACAUAUUUUGUUUCAGGAGCUUUUAAACAGCCAAUGUAAUGAACUAAAACAUCUCGCAGUUUAACUGCACAUUUGUUUGCACACACUGGAUCUAGUGUAUACCUAGUUGCCCUGAGUUAAUAUUUACCAUUAUAGAACAACAGUAUUUUGAUCUCUCUCUUUGAUAGACUUAUCUGUUGUGUUGAUAUUUUUGUAAGCAUUUACAAUGUGCAUUCUUUUAUAUAGGUGAUAAAUACAGAUGGAUCUGGGGAAUGAGAUCAUUGCUUAUGUACUCAAAACCUUGCAACACUGGGCGCUUAUGAAAUAUUCUAACCAUGUGUAUUUAUGAAAUAGUUUUCUUACAGAGUGUUCUCAGCUGAUGCUUUGCAUGACCUUUAAACAAAAUAAUGCCCUUGUUCUGGGUUCAUUGCAAAAUGAAAACAUGCAGCAUGAUGGGAGUCUCUGGAAAGCUCAUAGAGGUCCUAAUAUAGAUGGAGUGAAUGUAACAUGACAGAUGCCCAUUCUUCAGUGUUAGGGAGGUCAAAUGCAUUCCAGAUAUACUCAGAUAAAGGCAGUGGAAUGAAAUCAAAUGAAAUGAGCAUUGACUGGCAAGUGGCAUGUUAGAAAGGUAUACAAGGAGCCAGUUCUCUACAGAUACCAACAUCUAUUUAGACACCAUAAGACGAAUGUAAUGUUUAUCUGAGAAAGAAGGAUCAUAAAAUGUAGAUUACCAAGUGAAAUCACUAUUGCGUCAGAUGUUUGGAAAUUAAAACAAAUGAUUAUUCAGCUUCUGAAAUAUAGGACAAUAUUCACUUUGAGUGAAGUUUGACUAGUUCAUCUACUGUCAACGGCAAAGCUCCAUCGGCUUCAGCAAUGCAAGUUUUCAUUUUGUAUCUCUUACCAAGCUGAUUUAAUGCAUGCUAGGAUAUAAAGAUUAGCUUCCUCUAAG
This is a long non-coding RNA of Strigops habroptila (Kakapo), 2425 nucleotides long. RefSeq lists it as uncharacterized. The record is from RefSeq and is a predicted model, not a curated record. Lineage: Eukaryota; Metazoa; Chordata; Aves; Psittaciformes; Psittacidae. The transcript has 3 exons.